AGACCUUUUCUAUUUACGGUUCCGUUUCCGUCUUUUCUUUUUCUGUCCUUCCACACCGUUACAAGAGUUCCUCAUAUGGACCUUCAUAGGAUCUAGUGCCGUACGAAACCAUUAUAGAAGUUGGUGUGCUCGAGCACAGCGACCCAGUUCCAACUCCACUGGGUGCAACUAGUGGCCGUAACCGCCGCCCACCUCCAACAGCCUCCCCUCGACGAGGACUCCCUGUCAGGAACUCAGUAGUCUGUACAACUGAAUCAUGACAUGUUCCUCGUCUCAGGUUAGAGUCAUAGAAAUGCGUCUUUGCUUUGCCCUACUUCACAAGGAGGUACCACGCCGUAGAUGAAUAUCCGUCGAAGUAAGGUCACAGACGAGCAAGGUUUAUUCUCCAGUUCGGUAAGUACAGGUACGUACGUACGUGAACCGUUAUAUAUAUUAAUAGCCAGGUCCCCUUCGAGGAUGCGCCCCGGAUGCAGCCGUUGACCUUCUCGGGCUGUUUUACACUUAUAAGUAAAUACAGCGGACACACGGCGGCGUAUCGUUUAACCCUCAUAGAAUUAUGGCGCGAGGCCCGGUGAGUAAGUGAGAAAGCAGUGUAUACGAGGUAACAGGACCAUACGUUGACCAACAACAAAUCCUGUGUUAAUACUUCAAUAGAGAACCGGAUGUAUAUGAAGAAGCAGGACCAUACGUUGACCAAAAACAAAUCCUGCGUUAAUACUUCAAUAGAGACCCUGUGUUGAACAAAGACGGUUACAAAGACCACGACAGGUCCCACAACGAAGUACCUCUUCCGACCUAAGGGAGUAACCUUUGAAGCCGAUGGGGGACGUCACAGUCGUUUAACCCUCAUAGAAUUAGGAUGCAAGGUACGGGGGAUGAAGAAACAAGGACAAUACGUUGACCACAAACAAAUCCUCUGUGUCGUUAUUAUUUUUAUAGAAUGACUACGUUGAACAAAGACGGGUAAAAAAGGUACGACAGGAUAGGUCACCCACUAGUACUUCCGACCUUAGGGCCUGCGUCGGACCCCGAUGAGCAAUUUUGGGAAACCUACCAGGGGUUUUUUCAAGUUAGAACAGCCAAGGGUGUCCUGCUGCGGAGAGUACAGGACAGUGGACUAAAAGUAGGGCGAAUGCGCACGCCACGUUGACCCUAAAAGAAUCCACGUCGCCGCUACUACAACAUACCGGACUGGUCCUCCCCGAGUACCUCUGACACCUCACGACGACCUUCGACGACGACGACUAGACUUACCUUCGAACCGAAUCAAUUAACCACGUCAACGUCAGCCGCUUUUCCCGAUAAAAACCACCAAGAGCAUCCGACGGUACAAUAUAUGAAAACACCAUCGUCUAUCGAACCGGUCUCUCCCACCUGCGCCUACUCGGCGCAGCAACGAACCAAAACCUAUGCUCGGUAGUAGGGAUGGUGAUGAGAGCCGCACAUCGUGCCUCCUUGAAGGACAGGACGAAAAGAAAAAAUGGACCACUUCUACUCGACGUUGACGUUCACGACACAAAUGAGAGCGAGGUAGGCGCAGGAGACGCUGCAUUCACAAAGCAACGGAGAGCGAGAUAGGUGCAGGAGACACUGCGACGGUCCUUUCCGGCGGCGUGACCCCAAACAGGUGUACAGAACCGUACUUUUGAAACCGGCAAGUGCCUUCAAACCCGCACACGUCAUCAAACAUAGACAACCACAACCACGAAUUAGAGCAGCGCUAGGAGAGAACAUAGGAUUGAAACCAAACGGAACAUAAAGUUAAGCCAACAAAAAUAGUUCUUGUAUCAAGGUAGAAUUAAGAUCAAGGGGGUUAACCACGGGAGCUACUAAAAAUAGAUGUACGUUACGAUUGUACUUUCGAUAAAAAACAACGCACCGAAGCUAUGUUUAUGUUCGCUCGCACAUUCGUCAUCACCAGUCACCGCCUCCGUGCCCCCCCGUCGUCCCCGGGGCCGGGAGGGGUUGUAUUCAGUGAAGAAACGUAAAACCCGUACUUGUCAUUAAAAAAACUUUACAAAAGAAUUAGCCCCGGGGAGAUUCUAGUAUUUAAAUGCUAAGGACGGAGGCGGUGACCAUCACCACACACACACAGAGGUGCCGGGCGCGUUCCAACUUAGUAAGAAACGAAAGCACCACUGUUAGCUUAUCCCCAACCACCGAACGCUAUCCAAGGCCUCUCUACCAACAACGGAAGAGCCCUUUCAAAAAGAAAAUGCUCGCGAUCUCCCUACUCGAUCUAUGGAAAAGAUAUACUGUACGCGAUCUCUUAUUUUUAUAGUAUGGAAAACGCAACCUAGUAGGUUACUUCACCUACGUACGUAUAUAGAGUUCACCAUAAAAAGAACACCUCAUUCAACCUAUGACUAAAGAAGAAGUUAUCUUGGUAGGCGAAAGAAAACUUAGAUCAUAAUCGUUAAUGUAGGGUAUUACAAAAACUUCAGCCCCCAAGAGUUACGGUGGCGGUACCCAAGAUCUCGGGAGCCCGUUCAAGAGAUAGUUCAGUUACAUACGGUUUGAUAGUUGUCAAAACCUUUCGCGGCUUGGGAAAAUUUAAAUUCAAAAAGGUUACCGUUCGAACCUCUUUAACUCUCACUUAACGUUCUUUGGUGGUUUAAACCCCGAAGAGAACGUCUUUUGUUGGACUAGCGAUUAGAAAACAUUUUCGGUGGCGCGUAAGUCAUUUUCAAAACGUCUAACGUGACUUGGACAGUAAACCACGCCAACUCCCACAAAGGCUGUCCACCCGGGGUUAAAACCACUGCACAGGAUUGCCUGCGCGCCUGCCGCGGCAAUGGAAUUCUGGCUGCGCCAGUCCAGCGCUCUCUAUCUGGCGGGCGCGGGUUGGUGUAGAGCGAGCGAGAGAGACGAGAGUGCGAGCGAGCGAGGGGAGGGAGAACGAGGAGAGGAGAGGCCGGCGGCGGCCGGCGGCCUGCGGUACCACAGGACCUCGCUGUCGCUCUCGUGACUCCCGAGGCGGCGCGUCAUGUAGAGGAGGCUACUGAGGGGACAGUUCUAGGGUCGAUGUUAACUACUUGGCAGCAAGCUCCCAGAACAACUGCUGAACUUACACUAAACACUCGUACCCUUAGGUUCCUCCUUUAUACAACGUAAACUCCCCUAUUCGUAACCCUCCCCCAAGUAACGGACACGGUGACUUCCACAACGUUUAACACCUAAUCACGUCACCCAUCUACUCGUAACCGAUGACGUCUUACGAUAAGUAUUCGACACCGAAUACAUACUCCUAUCGAUCCUAUUAUUGUCCUACCGUACGGACCUCGUAAGUACGUGACAUGUGUUAGACUGUGUCGUCUUUUUUCUCAACGUCCUCUGUAUACUCUUCGAACAACUUCUACACUUGUUGGAGAACCUAAUAUUCCUAUCGGUCGGACUCCAUUUGAUCUUCUUACUACAACUCUUGUAAAGUCACUCACACCUUUCGUCGUACUGUUUCCUACGACUCUAGUUUUUUAACUUCCGACAACAACUGGUCAAGUUCGUUUAAGUACAUCGAGUUCGGUGACAGUAAUCCUUAAACUUCAAGUUGGUAGAAUUUCUCUUCCUUUUCAACUCGAAACUAUUCUCCUGAAACCUCUAAACGAUAUGACCGGAUUUCUUUCUCUUCCUACUGGACUUCUUUCUCUUCCUAUUCGACCUAACAACGUAACGACUCGACUACUUUGGCUUCCUCUUCAACUGGUACCUCUUCUCAUGAGAAGGAAGGACGUGACAACUCGAGUUCUGUCGUCCACUAUCGUUGUUCUCAUUCGAAUUGGUCUAAUUCCGAUAAACACUACUCCUGAUUCAACACAACAACGGACUGGUACACACAGUUACUACAGAAAACAUCAUCGAUACCUACUUUCAAACAUUACACAAUUCGAAAUAACACCACUUGAGAUGAUAAAGACAUCGUUACUUGGAACCUAACAUACAACAAACAGUACUUAAUAGUCAAAGUUAAUAGU
Molecule: ribosomal RNA, 3971 nt
Filed under: Triticum aestivum (bread wheat)
Lineage: Eukaryota; Viridiplantae; Streptophyta; Magnoliopsida; Poales; Poaceae
Description: partial small subunit ribosomal RNA
Source: RNAcentral